Molecule: ribosomal RNA, 301 nt
Filed under: uncultured bacterium
Lineage: Bacteria
Description: partial 16S ribosomal RNA
Rfam family: Bacterial small subunit ribosomal RNA
Source: RNAcentral
CAGUCGCCACGGUAAUACGAAGGGGGCUAGCGUUGUUCGGAUUUACUGGGCGUAAAGCGCACGUAGGCGGAUCGAUCAGUCAGGGGUGAAAUCCCAGAGCUCAACUCUGGAACUGCCUUUGAUACUGUCGAUCUGGAGUAUGGAAGAGGUUAGUGGAAUUGCGAGUGUAGAGGUGAAAUUCGUAGAUAUUCGCAGGAACACCAGUGGCGAAGGCGGCUAACUGGUCCAUAACUGACGCUGAGGUGCGAAAGCGUGGGGAGCAAACAGGAUUAGAUACCCCUGUAGUCCCUGUCUCUUAUAC